RNAcentral lists this ribosomal RNA (440 nucleotides) under uncultured bacterium. RNAcentral's name for it is "partial 16S ribosomal RNA". It matches the Rfam family "Bacterial small subunit ribosomal RNA", at positions 338 to 795 of the family's 1533-position model. The record is from RNAcentral.
CCUACGGGUGUCAGCAGUAGGGAAUAUUGCUCACUGGAGGAAACCCUGAAGCAGCAACGCCGCGUGGAGGAUGAAGGUUUUAGGAUUGUAAACUCCUUUUGUGAGAGAAGAUAAUGACGGUAUCUCCCUACUACUCCCCGGCUAACUCCGUUCCAGCCGCCGCGGUACUACGGCGGGUGCAAGCGUUACUCGGAAUCACUGGGCGGAAAGAGUGCGCAGGCGGGCUUGUAAGUCAGAUGUGAAAUCCUGUAGCUUAACUACAGAACUGCAUUUGAAACUAUGAGUCUAGAGUGUGGGAGAGGUAGGUGGAAUGCUUGGUGUAGGGGUAAAAUCCGUAGAUAUCAAGAGGAAUACUCAUUGCGAAGGCGACCUACUGGAACAUGACUGACGCUCAUGCACGAAAGCGUGGGGAGCAAACAGGAUUAGAUACCCCAGUAGUC